RNAcentral lists this non-coding RNA (114 nucleotides) under Candidatus Joergenseniibacteriota. Its description in RNAcentral is "Candidatus Jorgensenbacteria SAM-I sequence". It matches the Rfam family "SAM riboswitch aptamer (S box leader)". Rfam says of the family: The SAM riboswitch is found upstream of a number of genes which code for proteins involved in methionine or cysteine biosynthesis in Gram-positive bacteria. The SAM riboswitch acts at the level of transcription termination control. The record is from RNAcentral.
AUCUUAUCAAGAGCGCGGGGAGAGUUCUGGCUUUAUGAUCCGCCGACAACCUAUUCCGGUGAAAACCAAAGAACAAGGUGCCACAUCCAGCCUCUUUGAGAGGAAAGAUGAAUC